UACGUAGGGGACAAGCGUUAUCCGGAUUUAUUGGGCGUAAAGCGUGUGUAGGCGGUUUACUAAGUUUAAGAUCAAAGCCCGAGGCUCAACCUCGGUUCGUCUUAAAAACUGGUAGACUUGAGUGUGGUAGAGGUAAGUGGAAUUUCUAGUGUAGCGGUUAAAUGCGUAGAUAUUAGAAGGAACACCAGUGGCGAAGGCGACUUACUGGGCCAUUACUGACGCUGAGACACGAAAGCGUGGGGAGCAAAUAGG
Molecule: ribosomal RNA, 252 nt
Filed under: uncultured bacterium
Lineage: Bacteria
Description: partial 16S ribosomal RNA
Rfam family: Bacterial small subunit ribosomal RNA
Source: RNAcentral